Molecule: non-coding RNA, 2185 nt
Organism: Coturnix japonica (Japanese quail)
Lineage: Eukaryota; Metazoa; Chordata; Aves; Galliformes; Phasianidae
Source: RefSeq, a predicted model, not a curated record
AAUGGGUGUAAAGGGGGAUUUAAUGGGGUUUAUAGGGCACGGAGAGGGGUUAUAAGGGGCUGGGAGAGCUCCGCCCUAUAGAGCGGCCCGCUUGGGUUCGGGAUCGCUCGGCCCAAGGUCACCCCACGGUGUUCGGCUCCAUUCGGGUCCAUUCGGAACUAUUCGGGUCCGUUCGGGUCUAUUCGGGUCCAUUCGGAACUAUUCGGGUCCGCUCGGCUCUUUCCGCUGUUCUAAUGGUGGUGGGGGGUUUAAAUGGGGGACAAAAGGGGCUCAGAGACCUCGUGGGAUUCGGGUUCGGUUCGGUUGGCCGCUGGGUGGUACCGAAGGAACCGAUCCGGCCGCUUUCUGUUCCUUUGGUACCGCCCAGCAGCACUGUCUGUUCAUAAAGGGCUUUAAACGUCCCCCCCCCCCGUGUAAAGGGAGGCCCUCCACGUGUUGAGCUGAGAGCAGGAGGAAAUAGGGACUCCAUAAGGUUUGAAUGUAAAUUGAGUGUUACGUGUUGGAACCGGCUGAGGCCAAAAGAUGCAAAUAAAGGUGGUUUUAAGUGCGUUGGAAAGUGCCUAAAGGGGGUUAGAAGGGAGGUUUGGAAGGAAUAGAAUCAUAGAAUGGGUUGAAAAGGGGCACAAUGAGCAUCCAGGUCUAACCCCAUGCUAUGUGCAGGGUCACCAGCCAGCACACCACAUCCAGCCUGGCCUUAAACCCCUCCAUAGGGCAUCCACAGCCCCCACCAUAGACCCUCCACCCCCUUAUGGGUUUCACCAUAGACCCUCCUGUCUCACUUGCACUCAUAGAACCACAGGCAUUAAGGUUGGAGACCACUAAGAUCCAGUAAAAGUGCAUCCCUCAGUGGCACAUCUACACAUGGGUGCAAUGUGGGUUCUGAUAUAGAGCCUUCAUCUCCGUGCUGUUCCCAGCUGCUUAAUGACUUAAUUGCAUUGUGCUCAAUUAGCGUGGUCUUAAAGCUCCAAGGGGCAAGGUAAUGGAUUGGAAGAGGCUCAUACUGUGUGAGGGGUGUUGAUGUUUGUGGGUUCAGCUUUGUGAGCUCUCAGAUUCAAAGCUGGAAAGGAUGAAAGGAGCAGUUGUAGUCAUCUGCCUGCAGCCCUGCAAAGGAAGUUCUGUUCUGAAAGACAGCGUGAGGUCAAGGCCUUCAACGUGCUGCCGCAGUUGACCUGAGGCAACCCUGCUUUUUUGUUUGUUGCAAGGUAUGUAAGAUGACUACGAGUAAUUAAUAAUGGAAUUGGAAGGUUUCAGUGACCACGGGCUGUGGGGAGUCCUCCUUCCUGCAGCCAGCUUGGCUUUGUGUCAGAAUGCAGCUGGUGUUUCAUAUUGAUCCUUUAUUGAUUGAUCUCGUACAGCAAAGCCAUCCAAGGGGACUUCAGAAGCCGAACUGAAAUGUGUUUGGCUAUGAAAGUCUAUCUGUGUAGUCAUGGGCUGCCUCCAAACUUUGGUCUGAGCGUGAUCAGAGCUUUUAUAUUUACUGUUAAGAAAUGGAGUUGUUAUAUUACAGAGCUUAUAUGACCCGAAAUACACAGGCAUGAGAGUGAGCACGUGGAUCUGUGCUUGUGUGUGUGCUGCUGGGGUAGCUGGACUAUUAAGCUUUGCCUAUUGGCAGCUCCCUGUAUGAUUUAAGGGUCAUUUCUGAUGUGUUUUAUGGGAAUUUAAGGGAUUUUUUACUGCUACACAAGACUUUUGUCACCUACCAACUAGUGACUGAGGGGGUGGAGCUGGGCUUUUGUGUAUCACUGGGUUAUUUAGUGGCCCUUAUUUCCAUGUGCAGCAUGUCUGCUCGUCCAGCAUUGCUGCUGGUUGUUGCGUAAGGGCCGUGCUGUGAUGACAUAGCACACACAACAGAAUCUGCUGCUUGCUUCUGUUGCAAGCUGUCACUUCGCUGUUGCUCCCUCCUGCCUAUAAGGGGUGGCUGUGUCCCAUUGCAGUUGGCUGCUCCUGGAAGGAGGUGAGAGGGAGCUGUGGGGUUUUGUUCUGUUUAUUGCUGCUAAAAUAGCUUUGAGCUGUGGUUGGAAGAGGGAGAACUUCAGCUUUCCAUUUGCAAGCUGCAGCUUUGCUUGGAAAUGUAGAAGCCAGACUAAAGCAGCUGGUUCUUGAGGAUUGGUAGAGAAAUAGAGGGUGUCUUCCAUUGCCUUGUGCAGGCUCACAAAGCAGAGGUCUUGCACUGGUGCCUCUUAAU